CUCUUGUUGAAAGGACUCUCUUGCUUUUGCAACUCCUUCAGAUUACUCAAAUUACUCAUUUGAGAUAGAUCUGAGAACGAUUUUGAUUUUCCAUCAAAAUGACUCGACAAUCCCCUCCUGCAUCGCUUACCAUAAAAUCCCAAAACAUACCCGUAUCAGAUUCCAUAAUCCAAAAUCAAAUUAACAAAAAUCACACACACCAAUUACUACUUUACUAGUUAGUAUUAGUUAUUACUUAUUACCACCCAAAAUAAAUGAAAAAAAUAUUAUAAUUUUAUCCAACUCAAAAUAAAAAGGAUCUAAUCUAAGGGUUAAAGAAAAACAUUCGAUGAUUACGAGAAUCAAAUCAAAGAAGCGGGAUGAAAAGAGAAAAUUAAAGGAAUUAACUUGAUGGGAAGAGAUUCUUCCAAAGCAUCCAAAGAACCCAACCCAGUUCGUAUCUUUAACUGGCUCUGCACUUCUUCCUCCUCCUCGUUGUCGCUGUCAUCAGGGGUUCCGAUCGACGACGAACUCUCCGACUCGCCGCCGGCGA
Molecule: long non-coding RNA, 532 nt
Filed under: Glycine max (soybean)
Lineage: Eukaryota; Viridiplantae; Streptophyta; Magnoliopsida; Fabales; Fabaceae
Description: long non-coding RNA (GMAX_LNC000755)
Source: RNAcentral